Molecule: long non-coding RNA, 390 nt
Filed under: Manihot esculenta (cassava)
Lineage: Eukaryota; Viridiplantae; Streptophyta; Magnoliopsida; Malpighiales; Euphorbiaceae
Description: long non-coding RNA (MESC_LNC000166)
Source: RNAcentral
UAUUUUCCUUCCUGUUUAGAUACGGUCUCUCACCUAUAAAUAGGUUGUAAUCUCUAUUGAGAACAACAAUAACAAAAUAUUAUAUUUCUACAUGGUAUCAGAGCUAUUCUCGUAGAGAUUUAAUUUCUCUCUCUCUCGUCAAGUUUUAAAAUUUUUGGAGACUUAGGGCUCCUGUUCUUUUGUGUUACCCAUCUAGGGUAAUAUUUGUCUCCCAUCGUCCACCUAGAGAGGACGCCGAAGUUGCUUUGCAACCCGCUUAUCAGAUUUGUGGUUCAUUUGCCGUUUGGAUGUUGGGUGGAGGCGUUUAGUUGCCUUGCAACCCGCUUGUUAGAUCUGCGGUUGAGACAAGUAAAACGUGAUUUUGGGUUACCCAUAAAGGGUAACGUUUGG